This 305-nucleotide ribosomal RNA is filed under the name uncultured bacterium. RNAcentral describes it as "bacterial SSU rRNA". It matches the Rfam family "Bacterial small subunit ribosomal RNA", at positions 337 to 635 of the family's 1533-position model. The record is from RNAcentral.
ACCUACGGGGGGCAGCAGUAGGGAAUUUUCGUCAAUGGGCGCAAGCCUGAACGAGCAAUGCCGCGUGAACGAGGAAGGUCUUCGGAUCGUAAAGUUCUGUUGAAGGGGAAAAAGAGCGGAGAGAGGAAAUGGUCUCCGAUUGAUAUUACCCUUCGAGGAAGUCACGGCUAACUACGUGCCAGCAGCCGCGGUAAUACGUAGGUGGCGAGUGUUAUCCGGAAUGAUUGGGCGUAAAGGGUGCGUAGGCGGCCUGCUAAGUCUGGAGUGAAAGGUACCGGCUCAACCGGUACAGGCUCUGGAAACUG